CCUGUCACUGAUGAUGAUCUUGUCUUAUAUAUUCUUGGAGGACUUGGGCAAGAAUAUGAUGCCUUGGUUGUCUCGAUCACUGCUAAGGUGAAACUAAUUUCAUUAGUCGAUCUUCAUGGCUUGCUUUUAAGUCAUGAGU
Lycium ferocissimum is the source of this 139-nucleotide small nucleolar RNA. RefSeq annotates it as small nucleolar RNA Z247. The transcript has a single exon. NCBI's taxonomy places the organism in Eukaryota, Viridiplantae, Streptophyta, Magnoliopsida, Solanales, Solanaceae. The record is from RefSeq and is a predicted model, not a curated record.